AUUGAACGCUGGCGGCAUGCCUUACACAUGCAAGUCGAACGGCAGCACGGGAGUAAUCCUGGUGGCGAGUGGCGAACGGGUGAGUAAUACAUCGGAACGUGCCCAGUAGUGGGGGAGUAGCCCGGCGAAAGCCGGAUUAAUACGCAUACGACCUACGGGUGAAAGCGGGGAGUCGCAAGACCUCGCGCUAUCGGAGCGGCCGAUGUCAGAUUAGGUUGUUGGUGGGGUAAAGGACCUACCAAGCCGACGAUCUGUAGCUGGUCUGAGAGGA
This 271-nucleotide ribosomal RNA is filed under the name uncultured bacterium. RNAcentral's name for it is "partial 16S ribosomal RNA". It matches the Rfam family "Bacterial small subunit ribosomal RNA", at positions 30 to 300 of the family's 1533-position model. The record is from RNAcentral.